GGUUAAGCGACUAAGCGUACACGGUGGAUGCCCUGGCAGUCAGAGGCGAUGAAGGGCGUGCUAAUCUGCGAUAAGCGCCGGUAAGGUGAUAUGAACCGUUAUAACCGGCGAUACCCGAAUGGGGAAACCCAGUGUGACUCGUCACACUAUCAUUAACUGAAUCCAUAGGUUAAUGAGGCGAACCGGGGGAACUGAAACAUCUAAGUACCCCGAGGAAAAGAAAUCAACCGAGAUUCCCCCAGUAGCGGCGAGCGAACGGGGAGGAGCCCAGAGCCUGAAUCAGCAUGUGUGUUAGUGGAAGCGUCUGGAAAGGCGCGCGAUACAGGGUGACAGCCCCGUACACAAAAGCGCAUGUGCUGUGAGCUCGAUGAGUAGGGCGGGACACGUGGUAUCCUGUCUGAAUAUGGGGGGACCAUCCUCCAAGGCUAAAUACUCCUGACUGACCGAUAGUGAACCAGUACCGUGAGGGAAAGGCGAAAAGAACCCCGGCGAGGGGAGUGAAAAAGAACCUGAAACCGUGUACGUACAAGCAGUGGGAGCCCCACCACUAAGCCAGUGGUGAACUCCACAUACGCAUCCUUUGCUGAGGAUACGGUUAACGGAGCGAAAGCGACGUUCAACCUCAAAAGAAGCAGAGGGGGCUUAGUGGUGGGGUGACUGCGUACCUUUUGUAUAAUGGGUCAGCGACUUAUAUUCUGUAGCAAGGUUAACCGUAUAGGGGAGCCGUAGGGAAACCGAGUCUUAACCGGGCGUUAAGUUGCAGGGUAUAGACCCGAAACCCGGUGAUCUAGCCAUGGGCAGGUUGAAGGUUGGGUAACACUAACUGGAGGACCGAACCGACUAAUGUUGAAAAAUUAGCGGAUGACCUGUGGCUGGGGGUGAAAGGCCAAUCAAACCGGGAGAUAGCUGGUUCUCCCCGAAAGCUAUUUAGGUAGCGCCUCGUGAAUUCAUCUCCGGGGGUAGAGCACUGUUUCGGCUAGGGGGCCAUCCCGGCUUACCAACCCGAUGCAAACUGCGAAUACCGGAGAAUGUUAUCACGGGAGACACACGGCGGGUGCUAACGUCCGUCGUGAAGAGGGAAACAACCCAGACCGCCAGCUAAGGUCCCAAAGUCAUGGUUAAGUGGGAAACGAUGUGGGAAGGCCCAGACAGCCAGGAUGUUGGCUUAGAAGCAGCCAUCAUUUAAAGAAAGCGUAAUAGCUCACUGGUCGAGUCGGCCUGCGCGGAAGAUGUAACGGGGCUAAACCAUGCACCGAAGCUGCGGCAGCGACGUUUAUGCGUUGUUGGGUAGGGGAGCGUUCUGUAAGCCUGCGAAGGUGGCCUGUGAGGGUUGCUGGAGGUAUCAGAAGUGCGAAUGCUGACAUAAGUAACGAUAAAGCGGGUGAAAAGCCCGCUCGCCGGAAGACCAAGGGUUCCUGUCCAACGUUAAUCGGGGCAGGGUGAGUCGACCCCUAAGGCGAGGCCGAAAGGCGUAGUCGAUGGGAAACGGGUUAAUAUUCCCGUACUUGGUGUUACUGCGAAGGGGGGACGGAGAAGGCUAUGUUGGCCGGGCGACGGUUGUCCCGGUUUAAGCGUGUAGGCUGGUUUUCCAGGCAAAUCCGGAAAAUCAAGGCUGAGGCGUGACGACGAGGCACUACGGUGCUGAAGCAACAAAUGCCCUGCUUCCAGGAAAAGCCUCUAAGCAUCAGGUAACAUCAAAUCGUACCCCAAACCGACACAGGUGGUCAGGUAGAGAAUACCAAGGCGCUUGAGAGAACUCGGGUGAAGGAACUAGGCAAAAUGGUGCCGUAACUUCGGGAGAAGGCACGCUGACAUGUAGGUGAAGUGAUUUACUCAUGGAGCUGAAGUCAGUCGAAGAUACCAGCUGGCUGCAACUGUUUAUUAAAAACACAGCACUGUGCAAACACGAAAGUGGACGUAUACGGUGUGACGCCUGCCCGGUGCCGGAAGGUUAAUUGAUGGGGUCAGCGCAAGCGAAGCUCCUGAUCGAAGCCCCGGUAAACGGCGGCCGUAACUAUAACGGUCCUAAGGUAGCGAAAUUCCUUGUCGGGUAAGUUCCGACCUGCACGAAUGGCGUAAUGAUGGCCAGGCUGUCUCCACCCGAGACUCAGUGAAAUUGAACUCGCUGUGAAGAUGCAGUGUACCCGCGGCAAGACGGAAAGACCCCGUGAACCUUUACUAUAGCUUGACACUGAACAUUGAGCCUUGAUGUGUAGGAUAGGUGGGAGGCUUUGAAGCGUGGACGCCAGUCUGCGUGGAGCCGACCUUGAAAUACCACCCUUUAAUGUUUGAUGUUCUAACGUGGACCCGUUACCCGGGUUGCGGACAGUGUCUGGUGGGUAGUUUGACUGGGGCGGUCUCCUCCUAAAGAGUAACGGAGGAGCACGAAGGUUGGCUAAUCCUGGUCGGACAUCAGGAGGUUAGUGCAAUGGCAUAAGCCAGCUUGACUGCGAGCGUGACGGCGCGAGCAGGUGCGAAAGCAGGUCAUAGUGAUCCGGUGGUUCUGAAUGGAAGGGCCAUCGCUCAACGGAUAAAAGGUACUCCGGGGAUAACAGGCUGAUACCGCCCAAGAGUUCAUAUCGACGGCGGUGUUUGGCACCUCGAUGUCGGCUCAUCACAUCCUGGGGCUGAAGUAGGUCCCAAGGGUAUGGCUGUUCGCCAUUUAAAGUGGUACGCGAGCUGGGUUUAGAACGUCGUGAGACAGUUCGGUCCCUAUCUGCCGUGGGCGCUGGAGAACUGAGGGGGGCUGCUCCUAGUACGAGAGGACCGGAGUGGACGCAUCACUGGUGUUCGGGUUGUCAUGCCAAUGGCACUGCCCGGUAGCUAAAUGCGGAAGAGAUAAGUGCUGAAAGCAUCUAAGCACGAAACUUGCCCCGAGAUGAGUUCUCCCUGAGACUUUAGGUCUCCUGAAGGAACGUUGAAGACGACGACGUUGAUAGGCCGGGUGUGUAAGCGCAGCGAUGCGUUGAGCUAACCGGUACUAAUGAACCGUGAGGCUUAACCUU
RNAcentral lists this ribosomal RNA (3005 nucleotides) under Salmonella enterica subsp. enterica serovar Bovismorbificans str. Sal610. RNAcentral's name for it is "23S ribosomal RNA". It matches the Rfam family "Bacterial large subunit ribosomal RNA". Lineage: Bacteria; Pseudomonadati; Pseudomonadota; Gammaproteobacteria; Enterobacterales; Enterobacteriaceae. The record is from RNAcentral.